RNAcentral lists this ribosomal RNA (484 nucleotides) under uncultured bacterium. RNAcentral's name for it is "partial 16S ribosomal RNA". It matches the Rfam family "Bacterial small subunit ribosomal RNA", at positions 30 to 507 of the family's 1533-position model. The record is from RNAcentral.
AUUGAACGCUGGCGGCAGGCCUAACACAUGCAAGUCGAGCGGAUGAAGGGAGCUUGCUCCUGGAUUCAGCGGCGGACGGGUGAGUAAUGCCUAGGAAUCUGCCUGGUAGUGGGGUAUAACGUCCUGAAACGGGCGCUAAUACCGCAUACGUCCUGAGGGAGAAAGUGGGGGAUCUUCGGACCUCACGCUAUCAGAUGAGCCUAGGUCGGAUUAGCUAGUUGGUUGGGUAAAGGCCUACCAAGGCGACGAUCCGUAACUGGUCUGAGAGGAUGAUCAGUCACACUGGAACUGAGACACGGUCCAGAAUACUACGGGAGGCAGCAGUGGGGAAUAUUGGACAAUGGGCGAAAGCAUGAUACAGCCAUGCCGCGUGUGUGAAGAAGGUCUUCGGAUUGUAAAGCACUUUAAGUUGGGAGGAAGGGCAGUAAGUUAAUACCUAGCUGUUUUGACGUUACCAACAGAAUAAGCACCGGCUAACUUCGUG